RNAcentral lists this long non-coding RNA (2003 nucleotides) under Amborella trichopoda. Its description in RNAcentral is "long non-coding RNA (ATRI_LNC002446)". Lineage: Eukaryota; Viridiplantae; Streptophyta; Magnoliopsida; Amborellales; Amborellaceae. The record is from RNAcentral.
CUCUCUCUCUCUCUCUCUCUCUCUCUCUCUCUCUCUCUCUCUCUCUCUCGAGUACAUCACCUGCAAAGAACUGAAAUUUGUCAUUAUGAGCUUGAUGUGCGUCUCUUUUUGUGUUUUUAUGUUUCCCUUUUGAGCUUGGAUUUGAAUAAUUUGAUUUUUCAUUGCAAGAUUAUACAUGAGUUGCAUAGGCUACAAUGAUUUUGUAUUUGAAUUUUGUUAGUUUUGGCCAAAACUUGCAAUGGGUAGAGGUUAGAAUGAACAACGGGCCAUCAUACUCUGUUAUAAGCUCAAAACCCAUUAAAACUCAAUUAUUAAAUCAUUUGUUUUGUUGAUUCAUCCACGUUUUCUCAAAAUUCAAAUAAAACUUUGAAAAAUUACAUGUCCCCAAAAUUGAAAACAAUAAAAUAGAAAGGCGGCCAUUAUUUUGAUGGUAGAUUGGCCAAAAUCAGCCCAAAUAUGGGUCUAUUUUUUUUCCCUUCGAAAUUUCAGUUUAUCACACGAUUUACCUGUAUUUUGGAGCACUUUUAUUUCAUGGGUGGGCCAAAUUUUGGUUUGGGCCCAUCAUCAAAGCUGAAAUCUGGAAGUUCCAGACUGGAAAUUUACUCCUCAAGUUUUCAGCAUUUGGGUGGGACUCUUGUGAGAGAAGGGACCUUCCCCCACACCUGAAGGUUGUGUCUGUACUAUAUAUUUGUGUUAAUUAUGGGUCUAAUUAUAUUUUCAUGAAAACACAUCUGCAUAUUCGGCCUAAAGAGCAAAGAGUUUAUGGUAGGUGGUAUGGUAGAUAUAACUGAUUGUUUUUUAGAGAUCUGUAAAUUAAAGUGAUGGGAACCAUUUUCCUUUCUUACUUGUCCUCAAAACAAUUAUAAAAAAAAAACAAAAGAGGGAGAAAAAAAAAGAAACUCAAAUUGGACAUGGGUUCCUUAUUCAGUGUUUGAUUAUUUCUAAAUUCACCAAAAACUGAGGCCGUUGGCCAUGUCUAUACCUAUAUGAGCUUACCAUCUUAUAUUUACAAAAAUGAGGAAGAGCUGAAACCCUUCCAUGUUCGCCAUGGAAGUCACUAUAUGUUCUGUUUUAUCUUCCUUGGUGGGAAAGCUACGGGUGAAUUAAAGUAACAAACUUAAUUACAACACAUAGCAGCCUAUGAGCCCCCUCUUUGAUACUUAAUUAUCAAAAUCAACAAUUACUCCAUUUUAUGUUCUAUAAAUAUAAAAGGAUUGUAAAAUUAUAUAAAUUUUCAAAAUUAAAGAAAACUCCAUUUUAUGUUAACGUAAAGGAUUGAAAAUCGUGUAUCCCAAAUUUGUAUACCGAUAAUACAGAAACUGUGUAUUUAGUGACUGCAGGUGCUGAAGCUAGGGUUUUCUGAUGUGCAUGCUGCUAGUGAUCAUAUAUCUCUAUGUCCAUCUAUUAUAAAUGUGCUUAGAAACAUACACACGUAUGUAUCUGUGCAUGUGUGUAAGUUUGUAGGCUGAAGCUAGAAUCUUCCCUUUUGGCAUGCUAAUAAUGUAAAUUUCAUAUGUCUAUUUUUAUGUAUUUAGCGACCAUUUGUACUGAAGCUUGGGUUUUCUCAUGGGCAUGCUGUUAAUGACCAUAUAUCUCUAUGUCUAUCUAUGCAUAAAUGUUCUUAUAGAGACAUCUACGCAUGUAUGUAUCCACACAUGUAUGUAUAUUUGUUUGCUGAAGCUAGAAUCUUCCCUUUGGCAUGCUAAUAAUGUCAAUGGCUUAUGUCUAUUUUUAUGCAUAUAUUUAUUAUGUAUGUUUCUCCACUGAUUAUGGAUGUCGAACCUAAGAUUUUCUGAGGAUUAUGGUAGUAAUGAUGAUCCCCAAGUCUAUGUGAACGUUUUUUUACAUGUGUAGCACAGCUCUUCAUAACCCAUUUAGUUCUUUCAUUAAUCUGACUAACAGAUUACUUGCAGCUAAUGUGAGCUCGCACGCACGUGUGUGUGUGUGUGAGAGAGAGAGAGAGAGAGAGAAAGAGAGAGAGAGAGAGGAGGGAGGAGAGAGAG